This 214-nucleotide small nucleolar RNA is filed under the name Schizosaccharomyces cryophilus OY26. Its description in RNAcentral is "small nucleolar RNA snR42". It matches the Rfam family "small nucleolar RNA snR42". The record is from Rfam by way of RNAcentral. Lineage: Eukaryota; Fungi; Ascomycota; Schizosaccharomycetes; Schizosaccharomycetales; Schizosaccharomycetaceae.
AUCUCACAAUUUAUUUUAAUGCCGACGUCGAAGGAGUUGCAUGCUUCUGAAUUAUCUAGUAUCAGAAAACAGAGAUAAUUCAAUGGGUGCAGUCCUUUUCCUUUGUAGGAGUUGGUGUAGAUUAUGUCGGGUUGACCGACAGCAUAGCUAAAAACCAUCGUGAAGUCGUUGCUUCGUGCCAUGGCUCGUGAUGACCGAAUGCUACGUACAUUUG